GAUCAUUACAGAGAACUUGCCCUUCGGGGUAGAUCUCCCACCCUUUGUAUACCUUUCUGGUGUUGCUUUGGCAGGCCCGUCCUUCGGGACCGCUGGCUUCGGCUGGCCUGUGCCUGCCAGAGGACUUUAAACUCUUUGUUUUUUGUCGUCUGAGUACUUAUAAUAAUAAGUUAAAACUUUCAACAACGGAUCUCUUGGUUCUGGCAUCGAUGAAGAACGCAGCGAAAUGCGAUAAGUAAUGUGAAUUGCAGAAUUCAGUGAAUCAUCGAAUCUUUGAACGCACAUUGCGCCCUCUGGUAUUCCGGGGGGCAUGCCUGUUCGAGCGUCAUUACACCCCUCAAGCUCUGCUUGGUGUUGGGCGUCACCGUCUGUCGGUGCGCCUUAAAGACAGUGGCGGCGCCAUCUGGCUUCAAGCGUAGUAAUACUUCUCGCUUUGGAGGACCCGGUGGUAGCUUGCCAGCCAACCCCAAUUUUCUAAGGUUGACCUCGGAUCAGGUAGGGAUACCCGCUGAACUUAAGCAUAUCAAUAAGCGGAGGAAAAGAAACCAACAGGGAUUGCCUCAGUAACGGCGAGUGAAGCGGCAUCAGCUCAAAUUUGAAAUCUGGCUUCGGCCCGAGUUGUAAUUUGUAGAGAAUGUUUCGGGCGUGGUCCGGUCUAAGUUCCUUGGAACAGGACGUCACAGAGGGUGAGAAUCCCGUGUGAUCGGGUGCCGCAGUCCAUGUGAAACUUCUUCGACGAGUCGAGUUGUUUGGGAAUGCAGCUCAAAAUGGGUGGUAAAUUUCAUCUAAAGCUAAAUAUUGGCCAGAGACCGAUAGCGCACAAGUAGAGUGAUCGAAAGAUGAAAAGCACUUUGGAAAGAGAGUUAAAUAGUACGUGAAAUUGUUGAAAGGGAAGCGCUUGCAACCAGACUUGCAUGCAGUUGAUCAUCCGGUGUUCUCACCGGUGCACUCGAUUGUAUUCAGGCCAGCAUCGGUUCUAGCGGUUGGAUAAAGGCUUUGGGAACGUAGCUCCUCCGGGAGUGUUAUAGCCCAAGGUGCAAUGCAGCCUGCUGGGACCGAGGACCGCGCU
This 1069-nucleotide ribosomal RNA is filed under the name Leotiomycetes sp. genotype 711 JMUR-2016. RNAcentral describes it as "eukaryotic LSU rRNA". The stretch from base 482 to 1069 matches the Rfam family "Eukaryotic large subunit ribosomal RNA", at positions 1 to 600 of the family's 3401-position model. The record is from RNAcentral. Lineage: Eukaryota; Fungi; Ascomycota; Leotiomycetes.